AUCGUAAGAGUCUUCGAUAUGCCCGUUAUUUUUAGUUACGAUAAGGAAGACCCCGGGUCUCAAGCUUAGGGACUGUCCUUUUUGAUACAGAACAGCUAWGAGUAUGGGAGGAGAAUGGUAGAAUUCCCCGGGUGUAGCCGUACAAUUGUAGAUAUUCAGGAGGAAUACYGAUGGCGGAAGACUGCUCAUCUGCCCUAUUACUGACGUUGAUGGUCCGAAAGCCAUGGGGGAGCAAACAGGGAAUAGAUACCCCUGGUAGUCCAUCCCGUAAAUGAARGUCUACUACCCGUUGGGCCCCUUGAGCCUUUAGUGGCGCAGCUAACGCGAUAAGUAGACCGCCUGGGGAGUACGGUCGCAAGACUAAAACUCAAAUGAAUUGACGGGGGCCCGCACAAGCGGUGGAGCAUGUGGUUUAAUUCGAUGCAACGCGAAGAACCUUACCUGGCCUUGACAUACUAAGAACUUUCCAGAGAUGGAUUGGUGCCUUCGGGAACUUAGAUACAGGUGCUGCAUGGCUGUCGUCAGCUCGUGUCGUGAGAUGUUGGGUUAAGUCCCGCAACGAGCGCAACCCUUUUCCUUAUUUGCCAGCGGGUAAUGCCGGGAACUUUAAGGAUACUGCCAGUGACAAACUGGAGGAAGGCGGGGACGACGUCAAGUCAUCAUGGCCCUUACGGCCAGGGCUACACACGUGCUACAAUGGUCGGUACAAAGGGUUGCUACCUCGCGAGAGGAUGCUAAUCUCAAAAAGCCGAUCGUAGUCCGGAUCGCAGUCUGCAACUCGACUGCGUGAAGUCGGAAUCGCUAGUAAUCGCGGAUCAGAAUGCCGCGGUGAAUACGUUCCCGGGCCUUGUACACACCGCCCGUCACACCAUGGGAGUUUGUUGCACCAGAAGUAGGUAGUCUAACCGCAAGGAGGACGCUUACACGCCGGGGGCCCGGGUUUU
This 944-nucleotide ribosomal RNA is filed under the name Acinetobacter sp. BSL2. Its description in RNAcentral is "bacterial SSU rRNA". It matches the Rfam family "Bacterial small subunit ribosomal RNA", at positions 593 to 1475 of the family's 1533-position model. The record is from RNAcentral. Lineage: Bacteria; Pseudomonadati; Pseudomonadota; Gammaproteobacteria; Moraxellales; Moraxellaceae.